CACAACCUGCAUAUGCUCUAAACCAGUAAACCCACCCCCAAGAUCAUAUCUCAUCUUGAACAACCACCACUCCUAGCCAUCGUCGUCGGUCUUAGCCACCUCCGCCACCGCCGCCUCUUUCCGUCAGCGCCACACCUGAUUCUAUUCCGAUUUGUUAGGUUUACAUAAAUUUUGAGGACGACUCCAUUUGUUGGUCUUGCUACGCUAAGCUAAGGUAAUCAGGGAUAAUAUGGGGAAUCAAUAAUGAGAGAUUAAUGGAUGUUCAAGAGUAUCUAAAGACUCUUUAUUUUGUUAAAUCAUGUACUUUUAAAUGAACUUAAGACUUAGGGUAUUUUGAGACGUGUAUGUCACCUUGAAUCCUAUCUUAUAUUAAGUGGAUGUGUUUUGGUUA
Long non-coding RNA from Helianthus annuus (common sunflower), 391 nucleotides. RefSeq lists it as uncharacterized. The record is from RefSeq and is a predicted model, not a curated record. The transcript has 3 exons. Lineage: Eukaryota; Viridiplantae; Streptophyta; Magnoliopsida; Asterales; Asteraceae.